RNAcentral lists this long non-coding RNA (904 nucleotides) under Olea europaea subsp. europaea. Lineage: Eukaryota; Viridiplantae; Streptophyta; Magnoliopsida; Lamiales; Oleaceae. The record is from RNAcentral.
GAAUCAGAGUUCACUUGCCCUUAAAUUACUUUAACAUGGCAGGAUUAAUCAUUAAUCAUUCAUCAUUAAUGGAUGAAUUUAAUAAUUUCAUUGACCAACUGAAAUCAAUUUAACAUGUCUAAUGUCUUCAAGUUUAAGAAUCAAGAUGCAACAAAUAGACAAAGAAAUCAAUUUAAAUCUCACACCCAAAACAUCGUAAGAAAACAAAUUGAUAGAAAUUAGAUAAUAAUUAACAAAAGCACGGAAGGCUGAAGCAGAAUACCACUAUGCGAUCGGUCGGAUUUUGGAUAUCAAACAUUACAAGAAAAUAAAUUGAUAGAUAAUACAGUCAUAUAGAACUAACAGAAGUAGAAUGCUAGUAUCAGAAUCAGAUUCAUGCCUUGAUUGCUGUCAGCCAGUUGGAAUUUGGGAAAGAUAAAUGACUUAUCAAAUAGUACCAAGUACAAACGAGUCCGAUAAUAGAAGACCGCCACAGGAUGCUGUUAUUUUUCCUUUGUCCAUCGUUGAUAGGUUUUAGGAGUUGUUGCAGGGCCUUGAGUUGUAGUCUUGCAGACAGCAGACGUAAUCGUGGCGAUUGGCGUGGAGGACCAGCUGACUGCAGAAGACAAAUAGUUGAAAUUGGGUUUUCCAAACAAAAUAAAAAAGGUUGCAAGAUUUUCUUGGGGCCCCUUACAUGCUGGGCCUGAGGCAGAGGCCUCUUGGGCCUCUCCUUAGGUCUGGCUCUGCCUACCGCCUCAUUCAAUGAUGAUGUACAUGUAAAAAAAUUGAUCUAUGUUUAUUUCAAAUUCAUGCCUAACCAUUUCCUUUAUGUAAGAACAUCGAUGGUAAUUUUUUAUUGUAGCAUUCAAUUGAUUACUAAUUGUGGGCCGAUUUAGUAGUUCCCGAAUUGAAGAGGUUGUUGAAG